RNAcentral lists this ribosomal RNA (253 nucleotides) under uncultured bacterium. Its description in RNAcentral is "partial 16S ribosomal RNA". It matches the Rfam family "Bacterial small subunit ribosomal RNA", at positions 524 to 776 of the family's 1533-position model. The record is from RNAcentral.
UACGGAGGGUGCAAGCGUUAUCCGGAUUCACUGGGUUUAAAGGGUGCGUAGGUGGGUUGGUAAGUCAGUGGUGAAAUCUCCGGGCUUAACCCGGAAACUGCCAUUGAUACUAUCUGUCUUGAAUACCGUGGAGGUGAGCGGAAUAUGUCAUGUAGCGGUGAAAUGCUUAGAUAUGACAUAGAACACCAAUUGCGAAGGCAGCUCACUACACGAAUAUUGACACUGAGGCAUGAAAGCGUGGGGAUCAAACAGG